GGUGGUGCAUGGUUGUCGUCAGCUCGUGUCGUGAGAUGUUGGGUUAAGUCCCGCAACGAGCGCAACCCUUAUCUUCAGUAGCCAGAAGGUAAAGCCGGGCACUCUGGAGAGACUGCCGGGGAUAACCCGGAGGAAGGUGGGGAUGACGUCAAAUCAUCAUGCCCCUUAUGAUUUGGGCUACACACGUGCUACAAUGGCGUAAACAGAGGGAAGCGAGCCCGCGAGGGGGAGCAAAUCCCAAAAAUAACGUCCCAGUUCGGAUUGUAGUCUGCAACCCGACUACAUGAAGCUGGAAUCGCUAGUAAUCGCGGAUCAGAAUGCCGCGGUGAAUACGUUCCCGGGUCUUGUACACACCGCCCGUCACACCAUGGGAGUCGGAAAUGCCCGAAGUCUGUGACCUAACCGCAAGGGAGGAGCAGCCGAAGGCAGGUCGGAUGACUGGGGUGAAGUCGUAACAAGGUAGCCGUAUCGGAAGGUGCGGCUGGAUCACCUC
This 493-nucleotide ribosomal RNA is filed under the name uncultured bacterium. Its description in RNAcentral is "bacterial SSU rRNA". It matches the Rfam family "Bacterial small subunit ribosomal RNA", at positions 1037 to 1529 of the family's 1533-position model. The record is from RNAcentral.